Molecule: ribosomal RNA, 497 nt
Filed under: uncultured bacterium
Lineage: Bacteria
Description: partial 16S ribosomal RNA
Rfam family: Bacterial small subunit ribosomal RNA
Source: RNAcentral
GAUGAACGCUGGCGGCGUGCCUAAUACAUGCAAGUCGAGCGAACAGACGAGGAGCUUGCUCCUCCGACGUUAGCGGCGGACGGGUGAGUAACACGUGGAUAACCUACCUAUAAGACUGGGAUAACUUCGGGAAACCGGAGCUAAUACCGGAUAAUAUAUUGAACCGCAUGGUUCAAUAGUGAAAGACGGUUUUGCUGUCACUUAUAGAUGGAUCCGCGCCGCAUUAGCUAGUUGGUAAGGUAACGGCUUACCAAGGCAACGAUGCGUAGCCGACCUGAGAGGGUGAUCAGCCACACUGGAACUGAGACACGGUCCAGACUCCUACGGGAGGCAGCAGUAGGGAAUCUUCCGCAAUGGGCGAAAGCCUGACGGAGCAACGCCGCGUGAGUGAUGAAGGUCUUCGGAUCGUAAAACUCUGUUAUUAGGGAAGAACAAAUGUGUAAGUAACUAUGCACGUCUUGACGGUACCUAAUCAGAAAGCCACGGCUAACUACGUG